CAAUGACAAUCACUACUCCCGUCUAAAGCAUUGAUAGUAGUUUUUUCUCUUUCUUUAAUUUUAUUAUUAUUUUUUUAGUUUAGAGUCGUCCUAAGAUUGUAAUAGCAAUACAUGACUUCUGUGUAGUAUUAGCGGGUGGACCUAAACUUGUGAUAUAUGUAGUUUGCUCAUCAAUGAGCACAAUUUUGGUGUGGCUUUCUGGUGUCUUGUUCCCACAUUGGGUAAUUCAAAUUAAUACAAG
This 241-nucleotide unclassified non-coding RNA is filed under the name Hevea brasiliensis (rubber tree). The record is from RNAcentral. Lineage: Eukaryota; Viridiplantae; Streptophyta; Magnoliopsida; Malpighiales; Euphorbiaceae.